UUUUAUGGACAGGGGUACUAUUUUAAUGACUUAAAAUAGUUGAGAAAUACUCUUAGUAGCUGAUCUAGGUAAUGCUAGCGUAGCGAGUCUUUUUUUCUCCAAC
Molecule: non-coding RNA, 103 nt
Filed under: Mesomycoplasma bovoculi
Lineage: Bacteria; Bacillati; Mycoplasmatota; Mycoplasmoidales; Metamycoplasmataceae
Also listed under: 1 other name
Description: Mycoplasma canis TPP sequence
Rfam family: TPP riboswitch aptamer (THI element)
About the family: Vitamin B(1) in its active form thiamin pyrophosphate (TPP) is an essential coenzyme that is synthesised by coupling of pyrimidine and thiazole moieties in bacteria. The previously detected thiamin-regulatory element, thi box was extended, resulting in a new, highly conserved RNA secondary structure, the THI element, which is widely distributed in eubacteria and also occurs in some archaea. Analysis of operon structures identified a large number of new candidate thiamin-regulated genes, mostly transporters, in various prokaryotic organisms.
Source: RNAcentral